GCCGGGUGUCGUGGCGUGCAUCUGUAAUCCAGCUACUAGGAGGCGAAACUCUCGGACGGCUUGAGUUCGGGACCACUAUCGUGCAGUUGUCUAUGUCGAUCAGGCGUCCACACUAAGCUCAGUGUCAACAUGGUUAUCAUGCAGGAAUGCAAGAUACACCAGGUUCGAUAAUGAAGAACGUACAGGCCCAGGGCGGAAACGCAGCAGGCAAAAGUUCUCGCAGUGAGCAGUAGUGGGAUAGCGCUUGUGAAUAGGUGGUGUACGGUAGCCCGGACAAGACAGUCGAACGAAGCUUUUA
This 298-nucleotide signal recognition particle RNA is filed under the name Clytia hemisphaerica. Its description in RNAcentral is "metazoan signal recognition particle RNA". It matches the Rfam family "Metazoan signal recognition particle RNA". From Rfam's summary of the family: The signal recognition particle (SRP) is a universally conserved ribonucleoprotein. The record is from Rfam by way of RNAcentral. Lineage: Eukaryota; Metazoa; Cnidaria; Hydrozoa; Leptothecata; Clytiidae.